This 390-nucleotide unclassified non-coding RNA is filed under the name soil metagenome. RNAcentral describes it as "partial contains 5.8S ribosomal RNA, internal transcribed spacer 2, and large subunit ribosomal RNA". The stretch from base 1 to 122 matches the Rfam family "5.8S ribosomal RNA", at positions 35 to 154 of the family's 154-position model. The record is from RNAcentral.
GAUGAAGAACGCAGCGAAAUGCGAUACUUGGUGUGAAUUGCAGAAUCCCGUGAACCAUCGAGUCUUUGAACGCAAGUUGCGCCCGAAGCCAUUAGGCCGAGGGCACGCCUGCCUGGGCGUCACACGUCGUUGCCCCCCCAUCUACUCCUUCGGGAUUGCGGGGGGCGGAUGAUGGCCUCCCGUGCGCCUCGUCGCGCGGUUGGCAUAAAUACCAAGUCCUCGGCGACGCACGCCACGACAAUCGGUGGUUGCGAAACCUCGGUUGCCCGUCGUGUGCGGUCGUCGCGCAUCGAGGGCUCGAAAAAAUUGCCGGGCUCCGGCUCGGCUUUCAACGCGACCCCAGGUCAGGCGGGGUUACCCGCUGAAUUUAAGCAUAUCAAUAAGGGAGGA